This 500-nucleotide ribosomal RNA is filed under the name Mazocraes alosae. Its description in RNAcentral is "partial 28S ribosomal RNA". The record is from RNAcentral. Lineage: Eukaryota; Metazoa; Platyhelminthes; Monogenea; Mazocraeidea; Mazocraeidae.
UUUANCNGAGAAAUNNNAAANUGCGUGAACCGCUUANAGGUAAACGGGUGUAGUCAAGCUGCAAGCUGUGAGAAAUCUCCGGGUCAGUUGGCGUGAGCCUGAGCACACUCUUAACGAGGACGGUAGUGGGUCUAUCCUUCGGGAUGGGUCAGGCGCGUAAGUGUCUGAUUGGUGUAUGCCAGCUUGCUAUCGGUGUUCGGCUGACCCGGCCACUUUCUCAUGGCGUAAGUCACGACCGUCGUUGUCGUCGGUCCGCCUUUGUCUGAACCGUGUUGUGGGUAACCUUGUGUUGUCUGCGAUGCGGGGGCAGGUAGCUGGUCUAGCCUAGCUAGAUCAGUGUAAUCUUGCUGGGCAGAGUGGGUUCAAACCGUGCGAUGCGAUGUGGAUAGCGGUGACCGAUUGUUGGCUCGCCAAUGCUUGCUGGUAUAGCGUGGGUCUGGCUGCUUGUUGCUGUCUCUGAUGGCCUUGCGGNGCUCUGUAUUGCUAGUNGNCGCNUNNUG